UAACAAGGUCUCCGUUGGUGAACCAGCGGAGGGAUCAUUACUGAGUUUACGCUCUACAACCCUUUGUGAACAUACCUAUAACUGUUGCUUCGGCGGGUAGGGUCCCCGUGACCCUCCCGGCCUCCCGCCCCCGGGCGGGUCGGCGCCCGCCGGAGGAUAACCAAACUCUGAUUUAACGACGUUUCUUCUGAGUGGUACAAGCAAAUAAUCAAAACUUUUAACAACGGAUCUCUUGGUUCUGGCAUCGAUGAAGAACGCAGCGAAAUGCGAUAAGUAAUGUGAAUUGCAGAAUUCAGUGAAUCAUCGAAUCUUUGAACGCACAUUGCGCCCGCCAGCAUUCUGGCGGGCAUGCCUGUUCGAGCGUCAUUUCAACCCUCAAGCUCUGCUUGGUGUUGGGGCCCUACAGCUGAUGUAGGCCCUCAAAGGUAGUGGCGGACCCUCCCGGAGCCUCCUUUGCGUAGUAACUUUACGUCUCGCACUGGGAUCCGGAGGGACUCUUGCCGUAAAACCCCCCAAUUUUCCAAAGGUUGACCUCGGAUCAGGUAGGAAUACCCGC
RNAcentral lists this ribosomal RNA (556 nucleotides) under Camellia oleifera (tea-oil Camellia). Its description in RNAcentral is "eukaryotic LSU rRNA". The stretch from base 213 to 366 matches the Rfam family "5.8S ribosomal RNA". Lineage: Eukaryota; Viridiplantae; Streptophyta; Magnoliopsida; Ericales; Theaceae. The record is from RNAcentral.